GGGUUUUCUGAUUUGCUUAUUGCACCACAUGUGUUUUUCUUUGAAACAAACUUGCUUUGGCGGUGGGCCCAGCCUGCCGCCAGAGGUCUAAACUUACAACCAAUUUUUUAUCAACUUGUCACACCAGAUUAUUACUAAUAGUCAAAACUUUCAACAACGGAUCUCUUGGUUCUCGCAUCGAUGAAGAACGCAGCGAAAUGCGAUACGUAAUAUGAAUUGCAGAUAUUCGUGAAUCAUCGAAUCUUUGAACGCACAUUGCGCCCUCUGGUAUUCCGGAGGGCAUGCCUGUUUGAGCGUCGUUUCUCCCUCAAACCGCUGGGUUUGGUGUUGAGCAAUACGACUUGGGUUUGCUUGAAAGACGGUAGUGGUAAGGCGGGAUCGCUUUGACAAUGGCUUAGGUCUAACCAAAAACAUUGCUUGCGGCGGUAACGUCCACCACGUAUAUCUUCAAACUUUGACCUCAAAUCAGGUAGGACUACCCGCUGAACUUAAGCAUAUCAAUAAGCGGAGGAA
RNAcentral lists this ribosomal RNA (513 nucleotides) under Candida albicans. Its description in RNAcentral is "eukaryotic LSU rRNA". The stretch from base 146 to 299 matches the Rfam family "5.8S ribosomal RNA". Lineage: Eukaryota; Fungi; Ascomycota; Pichiomycetes; Serinales; Debaryomycetaceae. The record is from RNAcentral.